GCUAGUCGUGCGCCUCCAGCCACGGUGGAGGCGCGGCGCACAGCUCAGUAACACGUGGCUAACCUGCCCUUGGGACGGGGAUAACCCCGGGAAACUGGGGCUAAUCCCCGAUAGGUGAGGACGCCUGGAAUGGGUCCUUGCCGAAAGGGCGCCUAGACCAUGCUUCUAGGCGCUGCCCAAGGAUGGGGCCGCGGCCGAUCAGGUAGUUGGUGAGGUAACGGCUCACCAAGCCUAUAACCGGUACGGGCCGUGGGAGCGGGAGCCCGGAGAUGGACACUGAGACAAGGGUCCAGGCCCUACGGGGCGCAGCAGUCGCGAAACCUCCGCAAUACGCGAAAGCGUGACGGGGUCACCCCGAGUGCCGCCCGCUGAGGGUGGCUUUUCCCCAGUGUAGCCAGCUGGGGGAAUAAGGGGAGGGCAAGUCGGGUGUCAGCCGCCGCGGUAAUACCAGCUCCGCGAGUGGUCGGGACGGUUAUUGGGCCUAAAGCGCCCGUAGCCGGCCCGGUAAGUCCCUCCUUAAAGCCCCGGGCCCAACCCGGGGACGGGGGGGAUACUGCCGGGCUAGGGGGCGGGAGAGGCCGGCGGUACUCCC
Molecule: ribosomal RNA, 592 nt
Filed under: uncultured archaeon
Lineage: Archaea
Description: bacterial SSU rRNA
Rfam family: Archaeal small subunit ribosomal RNA
Source: RNAcentral